AGAGUUUGAUCAUGGCUCAGAUUGAUCGCUGGCGGCAGGCUUAACACAUGCAAGUCGAGCGGAAACAGAGAAUAGCUUGCUAUUCAGAUGUCGAGCGGCGGACGGGUGAGUAACGCGUAGGAAUCUACCUAUUAGUGGGGGAUAGCCCAGAGAAAUUUGGAUUAAUACCGCAUACGCCCUACGGGGGAAAGGAGGGGACUCUUCGGAGCCUUUCGCUAUUAGAUGAGCCUGCGUAAGAUUAGCUAGAUCGUGGGGUAAAGGCCUACCAUGGCGACGAUCUUUAGCUGGUUUGAGAGGAUGAUCAGCCACACUGGGACUGAGACACGGCCCAGACUCCUACGGGAGGCAGCAGUGGGGAAUAUUGCACAAUGGGCGCAAGCCUGAUGCAGCCAUGCCGCGUGUGUGAAGAAGGCCUUCGGGUUGUAAAGCACUUUCAGCUGUGAGGAAAGGUUACAUAUUAAUACUAUGUAGCUGUGACGUUGACAGCAGAAGAAGCACCGGCUAACUCCGUGCCAGCAGCCGCGGUAAUACGGAGGGUGCAAGCGUUAAUCGGAAUUACUGGGCGUAAAGCGCGCGUAGGCGGUUAUUUAAGUCAGAUGUGAAAGCCCUGGGCUCAACCUUGGAACUGCACCUGAUACUGGAUAACUAGAGUGCAGAAGAGGUGGUGGAAUUUCCUGUGUAGCGGUGAAAUGCGUAAAUAUAGGAAGGAACAUCAGUGGCGAAGGCGGACACCUGGUCUGAUACUGACGCUGAGUGCGGAAGCGUGGGGAGCAACAGGAUUAGAUACCCUGGUAGUCCACGCCGUAAACGAUUUUACUAGCCGUUGGAGAGCUUGUCUCUUUAGUGGCGCAGCUAACGCAUUUAAGUAGACCGCCUGGGGAGUACGGUCGCAAGAUUAAAACUCAAAUGAAUUGACGGGGGCCCGCACAAGCGGUGGAGCAUGUGGUUUAAUUCGACGCAACGCGAAGAACCUUACCAACUCUUGACAUCCUGAGAACUCGCUAGAGAUAGCUUGGUGCCUUCGGGAGCUCAGAGACAGGUGCUGCAUGGCUGUCGUCAGCUCGUGUUGUGAAAUGUUGGGUUAAGUCCCGUAACGAGCGCAACCCUUAUCCUUAUUUGCCAGCGGGUCAUGCCGGGAACUCUAAGGAGACUGCCGGUGACAAACCGGAGGAAGGUGGGGACGACGUCAAGUCAUCAUGGCCCUUACGAGUUGGGCUACACACGCGCUACAAUGGCCGGUACAGAGGGCCGCAAACCCGCGAGGGGGAGCCAAUCUCACAAAACCGGUCGUAGUCCGGAUCGGAGUCUGCAACUCGACUCCGUGAAGUUGGAAUCGCUAGUAAUCGUGAAUCAGAACGUCACGGUGAAUACGUUCCCGGGCCUUGUACACACCGCCCGUCACACCAUGGGAGUGGAUUGCACCAGAAGUAGCUAGCUUAACCUUUCGGGGAGAGCGGUUACCACGGUGUGGUUCAUGACUGGGGUGAAGUCGUAACAAGGUAACCGUA
Molecule: ribosomal RNA, 1508 nt
Filed under: uncultured bacterium
Lineage: Bacteria
Description: bacterial SSU rRNA
Rfam family: Bacterial small subunit ribosomal RNA
Source: RNAcentral